RNAcentral lists this microRNA precursor (63 nucleotides) under Mus pahari (shrew mouse). Its description in RNAcentral is "microRNA 5100 (MGP_PahariEiJ_G0006832.1)". The record is from RNAcentral. Lineage: Eukaryota; Metazoa; Chordata; Mammalia; Rodentia; Muridae.
GUGGGAGGGAGGAUUUGGAAAUGAAGAUCAGAGUUCGAAUCCCAGCGGUGCCUCUUCUCGACU